GGUGUUUUUUGUUUUGUUUUGGCUGCUCUACACUGCCUGUGGAAUUUUGUUCUCAAACCAGGGUUCGAACCCCGUGAUCCCUGCAGUGUAGAAUCUUAAUCACUGGACUACCAGGCAAGAAUACUGGAGUGGGCUGCCAUGCCCUCCUCCAGGGGAUCUUUCCAACCCAGGCAUCAAACCUAGGUCUCCGGCAUUGCAGGUGGAUUCUUUACCGUCUGAACCACCAGGGAAGCCCCAGGAGAUAUCAUGUAGAACCCAAGGAAGAAUCCCUGUGACCUAAAAUGGAAAAAGCCACCUCCUGUUGCAGACUUCUCAGGGGGCUUAAAAAAAAAACAAAAAACCAUCUGCCAGUGCAGGAGACAGCAUAGACUUGGGUUCAAUCCCUAGGUUGGGAAGAUCUACUGGAAAAGGAUGUGGCAAGCCACUCUAAUAUUCUUGUCUGAAGAACCCAUGGACAGAGGAGUCUGAUGGCCUAUAGUCCAUAGGGUUGCAAAAACACGACUCAGCAACUGAGCACACAACACACCUGUCGCUAUGGCAGUGAGAGAAGUGUUGGGAGGAUCUGUUUGAAACACUGUGUGAUGUUAAUCAUGUUUGUGUGAGCAGUUUGUCUCCAGCAAAUUAUGUAUCAUAAUAAAAAGUGAUUUU
Budorcas taxicolor (takin) is the source of this 648-nucleotide long non-coding RNA. RefSeq lists it as uncharacterized. The transcript has 4 exons. The record is from RefSeq and is a predicted model, not a curated record. Lineage: Eukaryota; Metazoa; Chordata; Mammalia; Artiodactyla; Bovidae.